This 2204-nucleotide ribosomal RNA is filed under the name Acinetobacter baumannii. RNAcentral's name for it is "partial 23S ribosomal RNA". It matches the Rfam family "Bacterial large subunit ribosomal RNA", at positions 742 to 2925 of the family's 2925-position model. Lineage: Bacteria; Pseudomonadati; Pseudomonadota; Gammaproteobacteria; Moraxellales; Moraxellaceae. The record is from RNAcentral.
AGGUUGAAGGUUGGGUAACACUAACUGGAGGACCGAACCCACUGUCGUUGAAAAGCCAGGGGAUGACUUGUGGAUAGGGGUGAAAGGCUAAUCAAGCCUGGUGAUAGCUGGUUCUCCCCGAAAGCUAUUUAGGUAGCGCCUCGGACGAAUACCAUAGGGGGUAGAGCACUGUUUCGGCUAGGGGGUCAUCCCGACUUACCAAACCGAUGCAAACUCCGAAUACCUAUGAGUACUAUCCGGGAGACAGACUGCGGGUGCUAACGUCCGUAGUCAAGAGGAAAACAAUCCAGACCGCCAGCUAAGGCCCCAAAAUCAUAGUUAAGUGGGAAACGAUGUGGGAAGGCAUAGACAGCUAGGAGGUUGGCUUAGAAGCAGCCACCCUUUAAAGAAAGCGUAAUAGCUCACUAGUCGAGUCGGCCUGCGCGGAAGAUGUAACGGGGCUAAAACUAUGUGCCGAAGCUGCGGAUGUAUACUUUGUAUACGUGGUAGGGGAGCGUUCUGUAAGCCGAUGAAGGUGUGUUGAGAAGCAUGCUGGAGGUAUCAGAAGUGCGAAUGCUGACGUGAGUAACGACAAAACGGGUGAAAAACCCGUUCGCCGAAAGACCAAGGGUUCCAGUCCAACGUUAAUCGGGGCUGGGUGAGUCGACCCCUAAGGCGAGGCCGAAAGGCGUAGUCGAUGGGAAAAUGGUUAAUAUUCCAUUACUUCUGUGUAAUGCGAUGAGAGGACGGAGAAGGCUAAAUCAGCCUGGCGUUGGUUGUCCAGGUGAAAGGAUGUAGGCAUGUAUCUUAGGCAAAUCCGGGGUACUCUAUGCUGAGAUCUGAUAGCAAGCUGUACUUGUACAGCGAAGUGGUUGAUGCCAUGCUUCCAGGAAAAGUCUCUAAGCUUCAGUUACACAGGAAUCGUACCCGAAACCGACACAGGUGGUCAGGUCGAGUAGACCAAGGCGCUUGAGAGAACUCUGCUGAAGGAACUAGGCAAAAUGGUACCGUAACUUCGGGAGAAGGUACGCUGUUGUUGGUGAUGGAACUCGCUUCCUGAGCUGACGACAGCCGCAGAAACCAGGCCGCUGCAACUGUUUAUUAAAAACAUAGCACUCUGCAAACACGAAAGUGGACGUAUAGGGUGUGAUGCCUGCCCGGUGCUGGAAGGUUAAUUGAUGGGGUUAGCGUAAGCGAAGCUCUUGAUCGAAGCCCCAGUAAACGGCGGCCGUAACUAUAACGGUCCUAAGGUAGCGAAAUUCCUUGUCGGGUAAGUUCCGACCUGCACGAAUGGCAUAAUGAUGGCGGCGCUGUCUCCAGCAGAGGCUCAGUGAAAUCGAAAUCGCUGUGAAGAUGCAGUGUACCCGCGGCUAGACGGAAAGACCCCGUGAACCUUUACUGCAGCUUGACACUGAACUUUGACCUUACUUGUGUAGGAUAGGUGGGAGGCUUUGAAGCUGGAACGCUAGUUCCAGUGGAGCCGUCCUUGAAAUACCACCCUGGUAAUGUUGAGGUUCUAACUCUGUCCCGUGAUCCGGGACGAGGACCGUGUCUGGUGGGUAGUUUGACUGGGGCGGUCUCCUCCUAAAGAGUAACGGAGGAGUACGAAGGUGCGCUCAGCGUGGUCGGAAAUCACGCGUAGAGUAUAAAGGCAAAAGCGCGCUUAACUGCGAGACCCACAAGUCGAGCAGGUACGAAAGUAGGUCUUAGUGAUCCGGUGGUUCUGUAUGGAAGGGCCAUCGCUCAACGGAUAAAAGGUACUCUGGGGAUAACAGGCUGAUACCGCCCAAGAGUUCAUAUCGACGGCGGUGUUUGGCACCUCGAUGUCGGCUCAUCUCAUCCUGGGGCUGAAGCAGGUCCCAAGGGUAUGGCUGUUCGCCAUUUAAAGAGGUACGCGAGCUGGGUUUAGAACGUCGUGAGACAGUUCGGUCCCUAUCUACCGUGGGCGCUGGAAAUUUGAGAGGAUCUGCUCCUAGUACGAGAGGACCAGAGUGGACGAACCUCUGGUGUACCGGUUGUGACGCCAGUCGCAUCGCCGGGUAGCUAUGUUCGGAAGGGAUAACCGCUGAAAGCAUCUAAGCGGGAAGCCUACCUCAAGAUAAGAUUUCCCUAGGACUUUAUGUCCUCUAAAGAGCCGUUCGAGACUAGGACGUUGAUAGGUUGGAUGUGGAAGCAUAGUGAUAUGUGAAGCUGACCAAUACUAAUUGCUCGUGAGGCUUGACUAU